GCGCGAAAACUUCGCAAUGUGCGAAAGCACGACGAGGGAAUCCCAAGUGCUAGCUCGUAAGAGUUAGCUGUUUUUAUGUCUAAAACGCAUAGAGAGUAAGAGCUGGGUAAGACGGGUGCCAGCCGCCGCGGUAAUACCUGCAGCUCGAGUGGUGGCCGCUAUUAUUGGGCCUAAAACGUCCGUAGCCGGUUUGUUAAAUGCCUAGGUAAAUCGUAUAGCUUAACUAUACGAAUUCUGGGUAGACUGGUAAACUUGAGACCGGGCGAGGCUAGAGGUACUCCUGGGGUAGAGGUGAAAUUCUGUAAUCCUAGGGGGACCACCAGUGGCGAAGGCGUCUAGCUAGAACGGGUCUGACGGUGAGGGACGAAGCCCUGGGGCGCAAACGGGAUUAGAUACCCCGGUAGUCCAGGGUGUAAACGCUGCUUGCUUGAUGUUAGUUGGGCUUCGGGCCCAAUUAGUGUCGGAGAGAAGUUGUUAAGCAAGCUGCCUGGGAAGUACGGUCGCAAGACUGAAACUUAAGGAAUUGGGCGGGGGAGCACCGCAACGU
Molecule: ribosomal RNA, 547 nt
Filed under: uncultured Thermoplasmatales archaeon
Lineage: Archaea; Methanobacteriati; Thermoplasmatota; Thermoplasmata; Thermoplasmatales
Description: bacterial SSU rRNA
Rfam family: Archaeal small subunit ribosomal RNA
Source: RNAcentral